Molecule: long non-coding RNA, 606 nt
Filed under: Marmota monax (woodchuck)
Lineage: Eukaryota; Metazoa; Chordata; Mammalia; Rodentia; Sciuridae
Source: RNAcentral
UUUUUUUUUUGGCACUACUGAGGAUUGAACCUAAGGGUACUUUACCACUGAGCUACAACUCCAACUUCUUUUUUGGGGGGUAGGACAGUACUGGGGAUUGAAGUCAGGAACACCCAAACACUGAGCCACAUCCCCAGCCCUAUUUUGUAUUUUAUUUAGAGACAGGGUCUCACUGAGCUGCUUAGGGCCUCACCAUUGCUGAGGCUGGAUUUCAACUUGUUAUCCUCCUACCUCAGUCUCCAUAGCCACUGGGAUUACAGGCCUGUGCCACGUCACCCAGGUCCAACUCCUUUUUUAUCUUGAGACAGGGUCUCACUAAAUUGCCUAGACUGGUCUUGAACUUUCAAUCCUCCUGCCUUAGUUCUUGAAUAGAUGGGAUUACAAAUGUGUGUCACUAUGUUCAGCUUGGGGUCACUUAAUUUUUUUUUAAUAUUUUUGUAGUUUUUGAUAGACCUUUAUUUUAUUUAUUUAUAUGCGGUGCUGAGAAUCAAACCCAGUGCCUCACACAUGCCAGGCAAGUGCGCUAUUGCUGAGCCACAGCACCAACCCCGGGGUCACUUAAAUUUUGAUAAAAAUUAUGAACUAAAAAACUUGUCUUGGGCUGAG